GACGAACGCUGGCGGCGUGCCUAACACAUGCAAGUCAAAGGAAAGCAACUUCGGUUGUAAGUACUUGGCGCAAGGGUGAGUAAUGUAUAGGUAAUCUGCCCUUAGGACUGGCAUAACCUCGAGAAAUCGAGGACAAUACCAGAUGAUGCAGCGGGACCGCAUGGUCAUGUUGUUAAAGAUUUAUCGCCUAAGGAUGAACCUAUAUCCCAUCAGGUAGUUGGCAGGAUAAUAGCCUACCAAGCCUACGACGGGUAGCUGGUCUGAGAGGAUGAUCAGCCACAUUGGAACUGAGACACGGUCCAGACUCCUACGGGAGGCAGCAGUGAGGAAUAUUGCGCAAUGGGCGAAAGCCUGACGCAGCAACGGCGCGUGGAUGAUGAAGUUCUUCGGAAUGUAAAGUCCUUUUGUAGAGGAAGAACAUGUCGGUUUACCGGCACUGACGGUACUCUGCGAAUAAGCCACGGCUAACUCUGU
This 474-nucleotide ribosomal RNA is filed under the name uncultured Chlorobiota bacterium. RNAcentral describes it as "bacterial SSU rRNA". It matches the Rfam family "Bacterial small subunit ribosomal RNA", at positions 28 to 506 of the family's 1533-position model. The record is from RNAcentral. Lineage: Bacteria; Pseudomonadati; Chlorobiota.